This 766-nucleotide ribosomal RNA is filed under the name fungal sp. Its description in RNAcentral is "SSU rRNA". It matches the Rfam family "Eukaryotic small subunit ribosomal RNA", at positions 331 to 1096 of the family's 1831-position model. The record is from RNAcentral. Lineage: Eukaryota; Fungi.
GGAUAGAGGCCUACCAUGGUUUUAACGGGUAACGGGGAAUUAGGGUUCGAUUCCGGAGAGGGAGCCUGAGAAACGGCUACCACAUCCAAGGAAGGCAGCAGGCGCGCAAAUUACCCAAUCCCGACACGGGGAGGUAGUGACAAUAAAUAACAAUACGGGGCUCAUUUGGGUCUCGUAAUUGGAAUGAGUACAAUUUAAAUCCCUUAACGAGGAACAAUUGGAGGGCAAGUCUGGUGCCAGCAGCCGCGGUAAUUCCAGCUCCAAUAGCGUAUAUUAAAGUUGUUGCAGUUAAAAAGCUCGUAGUUGAACUUCGGAAUUUAUUCAUUGGUCAGGCUUAACUGUCUGUACUGGUGUUAUGAAUUCCUACCUUCUGAGGAAUUAUCAUGCCAUUCAGUUGGUGUGGUAGGGAAUCAGGACUGUUACUUUGAAAAAAUUAGAGUGUUUAAAGCAGGCUAACGUCUGAAUACAUUAGCAUGGAAUAAUAGAAUAGGACGGAUUGGUUCUAUUUUGUUGGUUUCUAGGAUCACCGUAAUGAUUAAUAGGGAUAGUUGGGGGCAUUAGUAUUCAAUUGUCAGAGGUGAAAUUCUUGGAUUUAUUGAAGACUAACUACUGCGAAAGCAUUUGCCAAGGAUGUUUUCAUUAAUCAAGAACGAAAGUUAGGGGAUCGAAGACGAUCAGAUAUCGUCGUAGUCUUAACCAUAAACUAUGCCGACUAGGGAUCGGACGAAGUUAAUUUUUAAAUGACUCGUUCGGCACCUUACGGGAA